This 565-nucleotide ribosomal RNA is filed under the name uncultured Actinomycetes bacterium. RNAcentral's name for it is "bacterial SSU rRNA". It matches the Rfam family "Bacterial small subunit ribosomal RNA", at positions 338 to 916 of the family's 1533-position model. Lineage: Bacteria; Bacillati; Actinomycetota; Actinomycetes. The record is from RNAcentral.
CCUACGGGAGGCAGCAGCAGGGAAUAUUGCACAAUGGGCGAAAGCCUGAUGCAGCGACACCGCGUGCGGGAUGAAGGCCUUCGGGUUGUAAACCGCUUUCAGGAGGGAAGAAAAUGACGGUACCUCCAGAAGAAGGCCCGGCCAACUACGUGCCAGCAGCCGCGGUAAUACGUAGGGGCCAAACGUUGUCCGGAAUUAUUGGGCGUAAAGGGCUCGUAGGCGGUUCAACAAGUCGGUCGUGAAAGCCCGGGGCUCAACUCCGGGAUGCCGGUCGAAACUGUUGUGACUUGAGUUCGGUAGAGGUGAGUGGAAUUCUCAGUGUAGCGGUGGAAUGCGCAGAUAUUGAGAGGAACACCAUUAGCGAAGGCGGCUCACUGGGCCGAUACUGACGCUGAGGAGCGAAAGCGUGGGGAGCAAACAGGAUUAGAUACCCUGGUAGUCCACGCCGUAAACGAUGAACACUAGGUGUAGCGGAUUUAUUCAUGUCUGCUGUGCCGCAGCUAACGCAUUAAGUGUUCCGCCUGGGGAGUACGGCCGCAAGGCUAAAACUCAAAGGAAUUGACGG